Molecule: ribosomal RNA, 584 nt
Filed under: uncultured bacterium
Lineage: Bacteria
Description: bacterial SSU rRNA
Rfam family: Bacterial small subunit ribosomal RNA
Source: RNAcentral
CCUACGGGAGGCAGCAGUGGGGAAUUUUGGACAAUGGGCGAAAGCCUGAUCCAGCAAUGCCGCGUGAGUGAAGAAGGCCUUCGGGUUGUAAAGCUCUUUUGUCAGGGAAGAAACGGUGAGAGCUAAUAUCUCUUGCUAAUGACGGUACCUGAAGAAUAAGCACCGGCUAACUACGUGCCAGCAGCCGCGGUAAUACGUAGGGUGCAAGCGUUAAUCGGAAUUACUGGGCGUAAAGCGUGCGCAGGCGGUUUUGUAAGUCUGAUGUGAAAUCCCCGGGCUCAACCUGGGAAUUGCAUUGGAGACUGCAAGGCUAGAAUCUGGCAGAGGGGGGUAGAAUUCCACGUGUAGCAGUGAAAUGCGUAGAUAUGUGGAGGAACACCGAUGGCGAAGGCAGCCCCCUGGGUCAAGAUUGACGCUCAUGCACGAAAGCGUGGGGAGCAAACAGGAUUAGAUACCCUGGUAGUCCACGCCCUAAACGAUGUCUACUAGUUGUCGGGUCUUAAUUGACUUGGUAACGCAGCUAACGCGUGAAGUAGACCGCCUGGGGAGUCGGUCGCAAGAUUAAAACUCAAAUGAAUUGACGG